This 277-nucleotide long non-coding RNA is filed under the name Elaeis guineensis (African oil palm). RNAcentral describes it as "long non-coding RNA (EGUI_LNC043219)". Lineage: Eukaryota; Viridiplantae; Streptophyta; Magnoliopsida; Arecales; Arecaceae. The record is from RNAcentral.
AGAGUCCUAAAAUCCCUCAAAAUGUAUCCAACCCACGUACUAUAUUUCUGACUGUCGGAUCAGCCUUCAAUGCAUGAGGUCACACCUCAUCAAGCCUUUAUCAAGUUUGAUUCAUUGUGGAUCAUUGGAUCUUGCAUCAGAUUUAUUUUGGACCAUCAGAUCAUGCCAAAAAUUUACUUCUAUUUAGUUCUCCCAUCGGCAACCAACCAUAGCCAUCCGAUCUUGCCUCAAAAUUACUUCUAACCAUUAGAUCGUGCAAAGGAUGUGGGCCACCACC